GGUCAAGUGAAGAAGCGCAUACGGUGGAUGCCUUGGCAGUCAGAGGCGAUGAAAGACGUGGUAGCCUGCGAAAAGCUUCGGGGAGUCGGCAAACAGACUUUGAUCCGGAGAUGUCUGAAUGGGGGAACCCAGCCAUCAUAAGAUGGUUAUCUUGUACUGAAUACAUAGGUGCAAGAGGCGAACCAGGGGAACUGAAACAUCUAAGUACCCUGAGGAAAAGAAAUCAACCGAGAUUCCCUUAGUAGUGGCGAGCGAACGGGGACUAGCCCUUAAGUGGCUUUGAGAUUAGCGGAACGCUCUGGAAAGUGCGGCCAUAGUGGGUGAUAGCCCUGUACGCGAAAAUCUCUUAGUCAUGAAAUCGAGUAGGACGGAGCACGAGAAACUUUGUCUGAAUAUGGGGGGACCAUCCUCCAAGGCUAAAUACUACUGACUGACCGAUAGUGAACUAGUACCGUGAGGGAAAGGCGAAAAGAACCCCGGAGAGGGGAGUGAAAUAGAUCCUGAAACCGUAUGCGUACAAGCAGUGGGAGCCCACUUUGUUGGGUGACUGCGUACCUUUUGUAUAAUGGGUCAGCGACUUAUUUUCAGUGGCGAGCUUAACCGAAUAGGGGAGGCGUAGCGAAAGCGAGUCUUAAUAGGGCGUCUAGUCGCUGGGAAUAGACCCGAAACCGGGCGAUCUAUCCAUGGGCAGGUUGAAGGUUGGGUAACACUAACUGGAGGACCGAACCGACUACCGUUGAAAAGUUAGCGGAUGACCUGUGGAUCGGAGUGAAAGGCUAAUCAAGCUCGGAGAUAGCUGGUUCUCCUCGAAAGCUAUUUAGGUAGCGCCUCAUGUAUCACUGUAGGGGGUAGAGCACUGUUUCGGCUAGGGGGUCAUCCCGACUUACCAAACCGAUGCAAACUCCGAAUACCUACAAGUGCCGAGCAUGGGAGACACACGGCGGGUGCUAACGUCCGUCGUGAAAAGGGAAACAACCCAGACCGUCAGCUAAGGUCCCAAAGUUAUGGUUAAGUGGGAAACGAUGUGGGAAGGCUUAGACAGCUAGGAGGUUGGCUUAGAAGCAGCCACCCUUUAAAGAAAGCGUAAUAGCUCACUAGUCGAGUCGGCCUGCGCGGAAGAUGUAACGGGGCUCAAACCAUACACCGAAGCUACGGGUAUCACGUAAGUGAUGCGGUAGAGGAGCGUUCUGUAAGCCUGUGAAGGUGAGUUGAGAAGCUUGCUGGAGGUAUCAGAAGUGCGAAUGCUGACAUGAGUAACGACAAUGGGUGUGAAAAACACCCACGCCGAAAGACCAAGGUUUCCUGCGCAACGUUAAUCGACGCAGGGUUAGUCGGUCCCUAAGGCGAGGCUGAAAAGCGUAGUCGAUGGAAAACAGGUUAAUAUUCCUGUACUUCUGGUUAUUGCGAUGGAGGGACGGAGAAGGCUAGGCCAGCUUGGCGUUGGUUGUCCAAGUUUAAGGUGGUAGGCUG
Molecule: ribosomal RNA, 1470 nt
Filed under: Pseudomonas synxantha
Lineage: Bacteria; Pseudomonadati; Pseudomonadota; Gammaproteobacteria; Pseudomonadales; Pseudomonadaceae
Also listed under: 2 other names
Description: partial 23S ribosomal RNA
Rfam family: Bacterial large subunit ribosomal RNA
Source: RNAcentral